AAAACUUGAAUACAAAAGAUUGUCUUAAGAAUAUAUAAAAAAACAUAAAUAGACUAAAUUACUAUUAAGCUCAAUUACAACCAAAAACCCAUUAUUAUAUUAUUAAAUCACCGUGUAUCUAACAUUCUUGGAGUGAUCAUGAACACAAAAAAAUAAAAACAUUUUGUCAAAUGAAUAUAGAUAACCUUUUUUGCACCAUUUCUAUCUUGGCAUCAAAGUCCUUAAGCUUGAAGACUCUCGAUCCAAUCAUGGCAUUAGUUGUCAUAAACCAAAAAAACAACCUACCUACAAUUGUCUCCGUCAAGUUGGACAGAGAUAACUAUAUAUCCACCGCGGAAGUUACUAGUUCUUCCAUUGAUUAGAGAUUGCAAAUUUGUUAGAUACAUGUUAGGAACAAAAGAAUGUUAUGAGAUAAAAAAUUGAAUAAAUGGCUAAGAUUACUAGCUAUAACAUGGUUAACAUAAAGAAACAAUCGGAGAGGAUUCAAAUCCUACAUUCAACACAUUCAACAUGGGACAUGUGUUUAACUAUGUUGCCCUCAGAGGCGGCCACAAUACAUGUGCGACGGCAUCGGGCCUCAAAAUUUUGAGGGCCUCAACUCAAAAUUUUGAGGUUCUAUAAUAUUACUUAUUUAUACCCAUAAAAUAUCAAAUGUAUAUUAAU
This 663-nucleotide long non-coding RNA is filed under the name Trifolium pratense (red clover). RNAcentral describes it as "long non-coding RNA (TPRA_LNC003854)". The record is from RNAcentral. Lineage: Eukaryota; Viridiplantae; Streptophyta; Magnoliopsida; Fabales; Fabaceae.